UUUUUCUUUUUCUUUUUCUUUUCUCUUUUUUUCUCUCUCUCUCUCUUCUUCUUCCGCCGUGCGCCGCAACCCCACAGUUUCCUUCUCCUCUUCUCUUCCGUUCGCAGCAGCCGCAACCCCACAGCUUCCUUCUUCUCUUCUCCUCUCCGUUCCGUCCAGAUCUGCACCGCAAGACCUUCAGCCGCUGCAACCGUCGGCCAGUUCGCGAGGCAGCCGUACGCGUCACCUUGCGGCCGCCGUCCAGAUCUGCACCGCAAGACCUUCCGCCGCUGCAGCCGUUGCUCUUCCGCCGCUGCCCGGUUCAGAUUUGCGUCGCCGUGCACAGCCUCACCGCCACCCUCUCUUUCUCCUUCGGAUCGAAACCGCCGCGCCCGUCCACCUGUAACUGCCGUUGCUCUUCCGCCGCUGCCCAGCCGUCUCAGCCGGUUCUGUCUCCGUCGAAGCCACGGUCCUGCAACCGUCUCCGCCGGUUCUGUCUCCGUCGAAGCCAAGGCCGCCGCGUGAACCAGUAACCGCCACGCUCCCCGCUGACAACCGCCGCUCCACCUGCUAUCGACGUCGGCCGACUAGUUGCUGUAACCAUUCAGAUUUGCUGUAACCGUUCAGAUUCGCGGUCUGUUCGCGACGGUCUCCAUCCGUGAAGAUCAGCUGCCACGUCCCCUUUGGCCGACCGCUGACCGACCCACACUUAGGAUUUUGUUGCGAGUUCGACAGUCGUGCGUUGAGGUGUUGGGAGUAACGUUAGGCUCCCUUACAUUCACAACCACAUUGUGAAUUAUUGAAGGUUCAGUUCGCCAUUAUAUCGGAUUGUUUUGAGGACGUUAUGGAUUAAGGAGCUUCCCUAACUUUAAGGCAAAGGUAAUAAAGGCGGCAAACCGGCGAGGGGCAGGAAGGAAGCGUGAUGCCAUAGGA
Cucumis sativus (cucumber) is the source of this 912-nucleotide long non-coding RNA. RefSeq lists it as uncharacterized. NCBI's taxonomy places the organism in Eukaryota, Viridiplantae, Streptophyta, Magnoliopsida, Cucurbitales, Cucurbitaceae. The transcript is spliced from 3 exons. The record is from RefSeq and is a predicted model, not a curated record.